RNAcentral lists this unclassified non-coding RNA (203 nucleotides) under Hevea brasiliensis (rubber tree). The record is from RNAcentral. Lineage: Eukaryota; Viridiplantae; Streptophyta; Magnoliopsida; Malpighiales; Euphorbiaceae.
GGUUUUUUUUUUGUUUUCCCUACUUACUAGUGAACCUAUUGUUUUCCUAUUUAGGAGCUUAAGUGAUGAUGAUGACUUAGGAGCACUUGAUUUUUAGGGCUAGGGUUUGUAAAAUUCGAAAUUCAAGAAUUAGGGGAUUAAAUUAAGUUGGCAAAUCUUUUCAUCUUCAGAUUACAAAGAAAAAAAAAAAAAAUACUAGCCUC